GUGGGGAGCUCCGCGGCUCUGACCCCUUAACCCCGGGAUUAAGGAACCUAGGGCCGGGGCCCCGGGUACCAGGACGUGACUCUCUCCUCGGUUUAUCAGCAUCCUUCAGGGUGCCCUGGGACGCAGCGGUUGGUCCAGUUUUGUUGAGGGAACGCUUAGGUCCUGCUGGGGGCAGUGCAAAUUAUAUAAGCUUUGAAUCCCACAAGAUCGGGAUCCAUUCCUACCAAGCUCACUGCCUGCCUACCCUGCCAUGAUUCCUUGAUUUCUUGGAAGCAACCAUUUCCUACAGCUACAGUGGUUAAGAAUUCGCCGCCAAUGCAGGGGACACGGGUUCGAGCCCUGGUCCAGGAGGAUCCAACGUGCCACGGAGGAACUAAGACUGUGCCCACAACUACUGAGCCUGGACUCUAGAGCCCACGAGCCACAACUACUGAAGCCUGCGCGCCUAGAGCCCGA
Long non-coding RNA from Balaenoptera musculus (blue whale), 456 nucleotides. RefSeq lists it as uncharacterized. NCBI's taxonomy places the organism in Eukaryota, Metazoa, Chordata, Mammalia, Artiodactyla, Balaenopteridae. The record is from RefSeq and is a predicted model, not a curated record. The transcript has 3 exons.